RNAcentral lists this ribosomal RNA (600 nucleotides) under uncultured Alphaproteobacteria bacterium. RNAcentral's name for it is "bacterial SSU rRNA". It matches the Rfam family "Bacterial small subunit ribosomal RNA", at positions 54 to 691 of the family's 1533-position model. Lineage: Bacteria; Pseudomonadati; Pseudomonadota; Alphaproteobacteria. The record is from RNAcentral.
CAUGCAAGUCGAGCGAGAAGCUAACUUCGGUUAGUGGACAGCGGCGCACGGGUGAGUAACGCGUGGGAAUUUACCUUUCGGCGGGGGACAACAGUUGGAAACGACUGCUAAUACCGCAUACGCCCUACGGGGGAAAGAUUUAUCACCGAAAGAUAGGCCCGCGUUAGAUUAGGUAGUUGGUAGGGUCAAAGCCUACCAAGCCGACGAUCUAUAGCUGGUUUGAGAGAACGAUCAGCCACACUGGAACUGAGACACGGUCCAGACUCCUACGGGAGGCAGCAGUGGGGAAUCUUGCACAAUGGGCGAAAGCCUGACGCAGCCAUGCCGCGUGAGUGCUAAGGCCUUCGGGUUGUAAAACUCUUUUAGAUGUGAAGAUGAUGACGGUAACAUCAGAAAAAGCACCGGCUAACUUCGUGCCAGCAGCCGCGGUAAUACGAAGGGUGCUAGCGUUGUUCGGAAUUACUGGGCGUAAAGAGCGUGUAGGCGGCUUAGCAAGUUAGAGGUGAAAUCCCAGGGCUUAACCCUGGAACUGCCUUUGAUACUGCUAAGCUUGAGAUCGUGAGGGGAUAGCGGAAUACCCAGUGUAGAGGUGAAAUUCGU